CGUCGUUCGGACCGCCUU
This 18-nucleotide small nuclear RNA is filed under the name Arabidopsis thaliana (thale cress). RNAcentral describes it as "snRNA_18597". The record is from RNAcentral. Lineage: Eukaryota; Viridiplantae; Streptophyta; Magnoliopsida; Brassicales; Brassicaceae.